CCUACGGGAGGCAGCAGUAGGGAAUCUUUCACAAUGGGCGAAAGCCUGAUGGAGCAACGCAGCGUGCAGGAUGAAGGCCUUCGGGUUGUAAACUGCUUUUAUAAGCGAGAAAUAUGAUGGUAACUUAUGAAUAAGGAUCGGCUAACUACGUGCCAGCAGCCGCGGGCAUACGUAGGAUCCGAGCAUUAUCCGGAGUGACUGGGUGUAAAGAGUUGCGUAGGUGGCAUAAUAAGUAGCUAGUGAAAUCUGGUCGCUCAACAAUUCAGAUUAUUAGGUAAAAUGUUAAGCUCGAGAACAUUAGAGGUAACUGGAAUUACUAGUGUAGGAGUGAAAUACGUAGAUAUUAGAAUGAACACCAAUGGCGUAUGCAGGUUACUGGAACGGUUCUGACACUAAGGCACGAAAGCGUAGGGAGCAAACGGGAUUAGAUACCCUGGUAGUC
Molecule: ribosomal RNA, 442 nt
Filed under: uncultured bacterium
Lineage: Bacteria
Description: partial 16S ribosomal RNA
Rfam family: Bacterial small subunit ribosomal RNA
Source: RNAcentral